Molecule: ribosomal RNA, 117 nt
Filed under: Danio rerio (zebrafish)
Lineage: Eukaryota; Metazoa; Chordata; Actinopteri; Cypriniformes; Danionidae
Source: RNAcentral
GUCACUAGCCAUGUCACCCUGCAGCCCAAGACCGGUUACACACUGAAGCCAAGCAGGGCUGAGCCUGGUCAGUACCUGGAUGGGAGACCACUAGGGAACACUAGGUUGCUGUUGGAA